GUGCCAGCCGCCGCGGUAAUACGGAGGAUCCAAGCGUUAUCCGGAAUCAUUGGGUUUAAAGGGUGCGCAGGCGGGGCAGCAAGUCGGAGGUGAAAGCCCGUGGCUCAACCACGGAAGUGCCUUCGAAACUGUUGCUCUUGAGUCCCGGAGAGGUUGCCGGAAUUCGUGGUGUAGCGGUGAAAUGCGUAGAUAUCACGAGGAACACCAGAGGCGAAAGCGGGCAACUGGACGGGUACUGACGCUCAGGCACGAAAGCGCGGGGAGCAAACAGGAUUAGAUACCCUAGUAGUCC
RNAcentral lists this ribosomal RNA (292 nucleotides) under uncultured bacterium. RNAcentral's name for it is "partial 16S ribosomal RNA". It matches the Rfam family "Bacterial small subunit ribosomal RNA", at positions 505 to 796 of the family's 1533-position model. The record is from RNAcentral.